UACAGAGGUCUCAAGCGUUGUUCGGAUUCAUUGGGCGUAAAGGGCGCGUAGGCGGUUCGUACAGUCAGACGUGAAAUUCCCGGGCUCAACCUGGGGACUGCGUUUGAUACGUGCGGGCUUGAGUUCGGAAGAGGGUCGUGGAAUUCCCAGUGUAGAGGUGAAAUUCGUAGAUAUUGGGAAGAACACCGGUGGCGAAGGCGGCGACCUGGUCCGAUACUGACGCUGAGGCACGAAAGCGUGGGGAGCAAACAGG
This 253-nucleotide ribosomal RNA is filed under the name uncultured bacterium. RNAcentral's name for it is "partial 16S ribosomal RNA". It matches the Rfam family "Bacterial small subunit ribosomal RNA", at positions 524 to 776 of the family's 1533-position model. The record is from RNAcentral.